Molecule: ribosomal RNA, 253 nt
Filed under: uncultured bacterium
Lineage: Bacteria
Description: partial 16S ribosomal RNA
Rfam family: Bacterial small subunit ribosomal RNA
Source: RNAcentral
UACGUAGGGUGCAAGCGUUGUUCGGAAUCAUUGGGCGUAAAGCGCGUGUAGGCGGUUAAGUAAGUCGAGUGUGAAAGCCCUGGGCUCAACCCAGGAAGUGCAUCCGAAACUACUUAGCUAGAGAACGGUAGAGGAAGGUGGAAUUCCAAGUGUAGAGGUGAAAUUCGUAGAUAUUUGGAGGAAUACCGGUGGCGAAGGCGGCCUUCUGGACCGCUUCUGACGCUGAGACGCGAAAGCGUGGGUAGCAAACAGG